RNAcentral lists this ribosomal RNA (661 nucleotides) under uncultured bacterium. RNAcentral describes it as "bacterial SSU rRNA". It matches the Rfam family "Bacterial small subunit ribosomal RNA", at positions 94 to 788 of the family's 1533-position model. The record is from RNAcentral.
AGUGGCGAACGGGUGAGUAACGCGUGAGUAUCUGCCCUUAGGAGGGGGACAACAGUUGGAAACGACUGCUAAUACCCCAUAUGUCUACGGAUGAAAGAUUUUAUCGCCUGAGGAUGAACUCGCGUCUGAUUAGCUAGUUGGUGAGGUAAAGGCUCACCAAGGCGACGAUCAGUAGCUGGUCUGAGAGGAUGAUCAGCCACACUGGGACUGAGACACGGCCCAGACUCCUACGGGAGGCAGCAGUGGGGAAUUUUCCGCAAUGGGGGCAACCCUGACGGAGCAAUACCGCGUGCGGGAGGACGGCCUGUGGGUUGUAAACCGCUUUUCUCAGGGAAGAAGACCUGACGGUACCUGAGGAAUCAGCAUCGGCUAACUCCGUGCCAGCAGCCGCGGUAAUACGGAGGAUGCAAGCGUUAUCCGGAAUUAUUGGGCGUAAAGCGUCCGUAGGUGGUUAAUCAAGUCUGCUGUUAAAGAGCGGAGCUUAACUCCGUUUAAGCGGUGGAAACUGGUUGACUAGAGAGUGGUAGGGGUAGAGGGAAUUCCCAGUGUAGCGGUGAAAUGCGUAGAUAUUGGGAAGAACACCGGUGGCGAAAGCGCUCUACUGGGCCACAUCUGACACUGAUGGACGAAAGCUAGGGGAGCGAAAGGGAUUAGAUACCCC